This 253-nucleotide ribosomal RNA is filed under the name uncultured bacterium. Its description in RNAcentral is "partial 16S ribosomal RNA". It matches the Rfam family "Bacterial small subunit ribosomal RNA", at positions 524 to 776 of the family's 1533-position model. The record is from RNAcentral.
UACGUAGGGUGCGAGCGUUGUCCGGAAUUACUGGGCGUAAAGAGUUCGUAGGUGGUUUGUCGCGUUGUUCGUGAAAACUCACAACUCAAUUGUGGGCGUGCGGGCGAUACGGGCAGACUGGAGUACUGCAGGGGAGACUGGAAUUCCUGGUGUAGCGGUGGAAUGCGCAGAUAUCAGGAGGAACACCGGUGGCGAAGGCGGGUCUCUGGGCAGUAACUGACGCUGAGGAGCGAAAGCGUGGGGAGCGAACAGG